Molecule: long non-coding RNA, 690 nt
Organism: Macadamia integrifolia
Lineage: Eukaryota; Viridiplantae; Streptophyta; Magnoliopsida; Proteales; Proteaceae
Exons: 2
Source: RefSeq, a predicted model, not a curated record
CAUGUAUGAGAGUUCCACUACUAAUGUAAUACAAGAUAAAUCCGAAUUAGAUUUAUAUCUAGAAGUGCCAAUGAUUAAAGAUUCGAUCAAGCAUUAUGAUGUAUUGGCCUUUUGGAAGACACAAGGAGCAAAGUAUCGUGAUCUUUCUCUGAUGGUACGGGAUGUGUUGGCUAUUCUAGUAUCAAUUUUUGCUUCUGAAUCCGCUUUUAGCGUUGGAGGUAGAGUUAUUGACAAAUAUAGAAGUAAGCUAUUGCCUACAAAUGCUGAAGCGUUGAUUUGCCUUCGAGAUUAGAUGUUCGGAGUAGACUUUAGAGCUGAACCGGUUGAUGAUGCCAGUGAUUUGGCUAAUGCUUUGGGAGAUGUGUUGUCUUUGGAUAUGAGUGGUGAUACUAAUAUUACAGCAGAGCCUACACAAAGAUCUUCUAAUGCCUCUACUGCAACUAAUGUUUAGUCUGUUAGGUGAAAUUCCACGGGUAAUAUCAUUCUUGUUCUUUGAUUAUGACAUAUUCUCUAUCUUUUAUCUUUACAUUUACUAAUGUUUAUGCUUCAUCUAUUUUCUAUUAAGUGGGAUUGAUGUUGAAGCACUCAAUGUUGGAUGAAAUCAGGAUAUUUUUGGGUCAUGUAUCUAAAUAUUUAACUUUGGGGAUGUUUGGAUACGAAUUUAAGAUUUUUUGUGAUAUUUCUAAAUAU